RNAcentral lists this non-coding RNA (41 nucleotides) under Alexandrium minutum. The record is from RNAcentral. Lineage: Eukaryota; Dinophyceae; Gonyaulacales; Pyrocystaceae.
UUUUUUUUUUUUUUUUUUUUUUUUUUUUUUUUUUUUUUUUG